Molecule: ribosomal RNA, 468 nt
Filed under: Gymnothorax polyuranodon
Lineage: Eukaryota; Metazoa; Chordata; Actinopteri; Anguilliformes; Muraenidae
Description: partial 16S ribosomal RNA
Rfam family: Bacterial large subunit ribosomal RNA
Source: RNAcentral
AACGAGGGUUUAACUGUCUCCUUCCCCCAGUCAAUGAAAUUGAUCUGCCCGUGCAGAAGCGGGCAUAACUACAUAAGACGAGAAGACCCUAUGGAGCUUUAGGCAAAUGGUCAAGUAAACCCAACCCUACUCAUAUAUAUAUAUAGGGGAAACAAAAACUACUGAUCAAGAUGCCUUUGGUUGGGGCGACCUUGGAGAAGAAAAAAGCCUCCAAGCGGAAUGGGAAAACCCUUUAACUAAGAGAAACAGCUCUAAGCAUCAGAAAAUCUGACCGAAAGUGAUCCAGAAUAAUGCUGAUCAACGAACCGAGUUACCCUAGGGAUAACAGCGCAAUCCCUUCCCAGAGUCCUUAUCGACGAGGGGGUUUACGACCUCGAUGUUGGAUCAGGACAUCCUAAUGGUGCAGCAGCUAUUAAGGGUUCGUUUGUUCAACGAUUAACAGUCCUACGUGAUCUAGUCCAGACCGGA